AGAGUUAGAUCCUGGCUCAGGACGAACGCUGGCGGCGUGCCUAAUACAUGCAAGUCGAACGAGAAAUUCUUACACCGAAUGCUUGCAUUCACCGUAAGAUUUCGAGUGGCGGACGGGUGAGUAACACGUGGGUAACCUGCCCAAGAGAAGGGGAUAACAUCUGGAAACAGGUGCUAAUACCGUAUAACCAUGAUGACCGCAUGGUCAUUAUGUAAAAGGUGGUUCUGCUAUCGCUCUUGGAUGGACCCGCGGCGUAUUAACUAGUUGGUGAGGUAACGGCUCACCAAGGUGAUGAUACGUAGCCGAACUGAGAGGUUGAUCGGCCACAAUGGGACUGAGACACGGCCCAUACUCCUACGGGAGGCAGCAGUAGGGAAUCUUCCACAAUGGGCGCAAGCCUGAUGGAGCAACGCCGCGUGAAUGAAGAAGGUCUUCGGAUCGUAAAGUUCUGUUGUUAGAGAAGAACACGUGUGAGAGUAACUGUUCAUGCGUUGACGGUAUCUAACCAGCAAGUCACGGCUAACUACGUGCCAGCAGCCGCGGUAAUACGUAGGUGGCAAGCGUUGUCCGGAUUUAUUGGGCGUAAAGGGAACGCAGGCGGUUUUUUAAGUCUGAUGUGAAAGCCUUCGGCUUAACCGGAGAUGUGCAUUGGAAACUGGAAAACUUGAGUGCAGAAGAGGAGAGUGGAACUCCAUGUGUAGCGGUGAAAUGCGUAGAUAUAUGGAAGAACACCAGUGGCGAAAGCGGCUCUCUGGUCUGUAACUGACGCUGAGGUUCGAAAGCGUGGGUAGCGAACAGGAUUAGAUACCCUGGUAGUCCACGCCGUAAACGAUGAGUGCUAGGUGUUGGGUCCUUUCCGGGACUCAGUGCCGCAGCUAACGCAUUAAGCACUCCGCCUGGGGAGUACGACCGCAAGGUUGAAACUCAAAGGAAUUGACGG
Molecule: ribosomal RNA, 940 nt
Filed under: uncultured bacterium
Lineage: Bacteria
Description: bacterial SSU rRNA
Rfam family: Bacterial small subunit ribosomal RNA
Source: RNAcentral